AUGAGUUGUUUUCACCUCGCAAAGAAGACGUGCCGGAAUCUGACUUCUAUCUCUUCCCAAUUCUGGUGGGGUGCAACCAAUGGUGAAAGGAAAGUGCACUAGGUCUCAUGGGAAAAGAUGUGUGCCCCUAAGAGAGAGGGGGGUUUGGGUUUCUGGGACCCUGAAGCCUUCAAUCAGGCUCUCUUAGCCAAACAAGCUUGGCGUAUCCUGACCGUGCCGUCCUCUCUGGUUUCUCGGGUGCUCAAGGCAAGGUACUUCCGUGAUAGCUCUAUCCUAGCGGCUACGUGCCCGUCUAAUGCAUCAUAUACUUUUCGGAGUGUUCUACAUGGUAGAGACUUGCUGCGGGAGGGGCUGGUCUGGAGAAUAGGAGAUGGGUCUCGGGUGAAUAUCCACCACGAGAACUGGAUACCGCGGAAUGGAACUAUGAGGCCACUGGGUCAGGUGUUUCAUCAAGGGGUCACCAAGGUUGCGGCUCCAGGGGAUAGUAGGUUUGCAAAUGUUGCCGCUCAUAAGUUAGCAAGAGUAGCUGCAGAGGAGGGUUUAUGUAAUACUUGGUUUGGUGUCCCCCAGACUCUAUCUUAG
RNAcentral lists this ribosomal RNA (582 nucleotides) under Triticum aestivum (bread wheat). RNAcentral describes it as "partial small subunit ribosomal RNA". Lineage: Eukaryota; Viridiplantae; Streptophyta; Magnoliopsida; Poales; Poaceae. The record is from RNAcentral.